UACGCUCCAUAACUAAAACCUGAGCUUUUUUUCCGCUCCAUAACCGGAAUGCUAGGCUUGGGGGGUUUUAAGGGGCGUUUGGGAGGAAAGGGGCAGGCGCUGUGCUCUGCGCUCCCUCGCUGGUAAGAGAGAAGAGGCUGCCGCUGCCACGGACGGAGGAGGAGUGAGGCGGGUGGCGGGGGCGGGGUCGUCGGCGCGGCAGGCGGCGACCAAGAAGGAGCGGCGGACCUGGACAAGCAGCUUCGGCAUGGUCGGCUCGGCCAGUGAGGAGGAGGCUGGGGCUGCGGCCGAGUAGGGGACGGCGGCGGCAGCUGCGGCGGAGUAGGGGACGGCGGCGGCAUCUGCGGCGGAGUCGAGGACCACAGAGACUGGGUGUCCGGGAGGGCCGUUGGACGGGAAUAAAUGCAAAGAACAGUCUUUCUGUCGCCCAUUUUUAGGUACUAUAUGCAACACUACCGUGGUUUAGGUAGUCCAGUCAGGGUUCUUUUCUUCUUUUGUUUUCUCUUUGUCGGAUACUUCUAUGUGAUACUGGACAAUUUGGAUUCCUACUUGGUCCGACUUGUCUUUCACUGAACACUCGAAUACUACGGUCGUUUCAAUGGUCUAAAGAUGUUGGGAGGGGAACCACGACUAGGCCAACAGGAGGUACACUUUGUAGGUUGGGUUCUGUUCGUAAGACAAUGAAAUUACUCCCUAACGAAUGUAUUCUUGGAAGACGUACGUUUUGAACAGUCACUGUUUCUAGGUAUAGACGAUCAGAAAUGACUGGCUAUGUGUCCUUACAAUUGUCGUAUGAAGUUCAGGUAGCUUGGUAAACAUCGAUUCAUACGGCUUGGCCCGGCCUAUGGUAAGGGCAGGCGAUUCGAAGUUUCACAACACUCAGUUUACGAACUACCAAACUUCCCUGACACCAAGAUACUGUUCAUGGUACCUUUGAACUCUAACCUGUUGUGUAUGAUGAUAUUCUGUUUUCUACCACUACAGCAACACUUCAACCGUUCAAAAUUUACAGUUCCAUGAUUUGAAUUUCUGGGACGUUUUUUCCCUUUUCUAUUUUGUCUCUGACAACGUGUAAUGGUCCGCCUUCUAAAUGUUCGUUACCCGUGACGCGACCUUCUUUAUAGAGUUUACCGAUCACUAAACUCACUCUUUCCGAUAGACAACCUAACGUCUGUCUAACUGGUGGAACGGCUUUCUGAUUUUCUUCACAGGUUCCCUCUCUACCCUUCACGUAUCUACUUGGGCCUUAGGUUGACGAAGUCACCUACGCUGACAGUAAAGUUCCUUAGUACCACAAAAAGACCAUGAUAUGAGAAAUGACGGUGCUGGAGGUUCUGGGCAAUUGGUCCCCACUACAAUUCUACCAUUUCGUACGUUCUGGUCUCUACGGUCACUGUCAAUCGUCAAGCUCCUGGCACCGACGGCAUUGUUCCGAAUUUCAUUGACGUCAUACU
RNAcentral lists this ribosomal RNA (1454 nucleotides) under Triticum aestivum (bread wheat). RNAcentral's name for it is "partial small subunit ribosomal RNA". Lineage: Eukaryota; Viridiplantae; Streptophyta; Magnoliopsida; Poales; Poaceae. The record is from RNAcentral.